GGCUCAGUGGCCCAACUGGCAGAGGCGGUCGACUCAAAAUCGGCAUGUUGUGGGUUCGAAUCCCACCUGAGCUACCA
Molecule: transfer RNA, 77 nt
Filed under: Winkia neuii subsp. anitrata
Lineage: Bacteria; Bacillati; Actinomycetota; Actinomycetes; Actinomycetales; Actinomycetaceae
Also listed under: 19 other names
Description: tRNA-Leu
Rfam family: tRNA
About the family: Transfer RNA (tRNA) molecules are approximately 80 nucleotides in length. Their secondary structure includes four short double-helical elements and three loops (D, anti-codon, and T loops). Further hydrogen bonds mediate the characteristic L-shaped molecular structure. tRNAs have two regions of fundamental functional importance: the anti-codon, which is responsible for specific mRNA codon recognition, and the 3' end, to which the tRNAs corresponding amino acid is attached (by aminoacyl-tRNA synthetases). tRNAs cope with the degeneracy of the genetic code in two manners: having more than one tRNA (with a specific anti-codon) for a particular amino acid; and 'wobble' base-pairing, i.e. permitting non-standard base-pairing at the 3rd anti-codon position.
Source: RNAcentral